UGGGGAAUAUUGCACAAUGGGCGCAAGCCUGAUGCAGCCAUGCCGCGUGUAUGAAGAAGGCCUUCGGGUUGUAAAGUACUUUCAGCGGGGAGGAAGGGAGUAAAGUUAAUACCUUUACUCAUUGACGUUACCCGCAGAAGAAGCACCGGCUAACUCCGUGCCAGCAGCCGCGGUAAUACGGAGGGUGCAAGCGUUAAUCGGAAUUACUGGGCGUAAAGCGCACGCAGGCGGUCUGUCAAGUCGGAUGUGAAAUCCCCGGGCUCAACCUGGGAACUGCAUUCGAAACUGGCAGGCUAGAGUCUUGUAGAGGGGGGUAGAAUUCCAGGUGUAGCGGUGAAAUGCGUAGAGAUCUGGAGGAAUACCGGUGGCGAAGGCGGCCCCCUGGACAAAGACUGACGCUCAGGUGCGAAAGCGUGGGGAGCAAACAGG
RNAcentral lists this ribosomal RNA (429 nucleotides) under Chloroflexota bacterium. RNAcentral's name for it is "Chloroflexi bacterium partial 16S ribosomal RNA". It matches the Rfam family "Bacterial small subunit ribosomal RNA", at positions 355 to 776 of the family's 1533-position model. The record is from RNAcentral. Lineage: Bacteria; Bacillati; Chloroflexota.